UUACUUGUCUUUAAUGACAGACACAUUACAGGUUAUGCUCCGGAAGAUGGAGACAUUGGAGGAGAACCAGCGAGAGGCUCUCCUAUUCAGGCGACUACAGGGCAGACACACUGAAGAGGUGCCAGUGAUGGACCUACAGGUGGCCCAAACCCAGGCUGAACUCCAAGACCUUGAGGAGUGCCUUAAGGUGCUGGAGUUGCGAAAGAGAGUGACGCUGUGAUGAAGUGGAAGACGGGACUGGGAGAGAAAGCUGUGGAGCUCCUCAUAGAGGAGACACUCAAACACACCCCGGCAGCCCAUUCAAAACAAGCCAGGGCCAACAGACAGGACCUGUAGCGGGGACUGGCAGAAGAUUUUAAUUGGGUGUGCUCAAGCCUUCGGCGAGAGCACACCAGAAACGCCACAAGCAAAGAGGCCAGGUGAUAACUAUUUACUAAUUUUACUUUGUGAUAUGACACACAAUUGUGAUGUGUAAUGUACAAUAUAAGCUGAUAUUAUUAAGGAAGUACAUCUACUUUCGGAAACAGUAGUCUACUAUUUCACUGAAGUAUUAGCAUCAUGACAUUAGCCUGUGUUGCCCGGGCAACACAUACUACAGUGGUCUAUGAU
Molecule: long non-coding RNA, 609 nt
Organism: Osmerus eperlanus (European smelt)
Lineage: Eukaryota; Metazoa; Chordata; Actinopteri; Osmeriformes; Osmeridae
Exons: 3
Source: RefSeq, a predicted model, not a curated record